GGAUCCAUGGCGCAAUGGUAGUGCGUCUGACUCCAGAUCAGAAGGUUGUGUGAUCGAUUCACGUCGGGUUCA
This is a non-coding RNA of Gossypium raimondii (Peruvian cotton), 72 nucleotides long. NCBI's taxonomy places the organism in Eukaryota, Viridiplantae, Streptophyta, Magnoliopsida, Malvales, Malvaceae. The record is from Rfam.